Molecule: unclassified non-coding RNA, 345 nt
Filed under: soil metagenome
Description: partial contains 5.8S ribosomal RNA, internal transcribed spacer 2, and large subunit ribosomal RNA
Rfam family: 5.8S ribosomal RNA (bases 1-120)
Source: RNAcentral
GAUGAAGAACGUAGUGAAAUGCGAUACGUAAUGUGAAUUGCAGAAUUCAGUGAAUCAUCGAGUCUUUGAACGCACAUUGCGCCCCCUGGUAUUCCGGGGGGCAUGCCUGUCCGAGCGUCAUUGCUGCCCUCAAGCACGGCUUGUGUGUUGGGCCUCCGUCCUCCUCCCGGGGGACGGGCCCGAAAGGCAGCGGCGGCACCGCGUCCGGUCCUCGAGCGUAUGGGGCUUCGUCACCCGCUCUUGUAGGCCCGGCCGGCGCUUGCCGACACAUCAACCUUUUUUCCAGGUUGACCUCGGAUCAGGUAGGGAUACCCGCUGAACUUAAGCAUAUCAAUAAGCGGAGGA